CAUAUAUACUGGUGCACCUUUGUGAUAGCAGGUGGUGAAAUGUUUGGUAAAAAAGCAUUUCACUGGAAGUCCUUCAUGGAAGAGGAGACUCUCAUUCAGCUCAUUUAGGAUUCUGGAGACUCACCCGGUUAUCAACCUAACUAACUGACUAAAGAAAUAAAAGAAGUCAGAAGAAAAUGUAGUUGUCCCUUGCGUCCUUCAGUCCUUAGAGGCCUUUUUCAAGUUUGGGCAAAGAGCUGCAGUGUGAACCAUACACAACCUGACACUCACCAUUGUGUUGAAGCCACAGUGCCUCCAUUUUGGAACUCAUUUUUAAUUGUAAAAAAUAUUUUGGAAGCUAUAGAAAUGCAUUCAUUAAAUGCCUACAUUUGUUUUGACAAAUGCAUUAUA
Molecule: long non-coding RNA, 390 nt
Organism: Salmo salar (Atlantic salmon)
Lineage: Eukaryota; Metazoa; Chordata; Actinopteri; Salmoniformes; Salmonidae
Source: RefSeq, a predicted model, not a curated record